Molecule: ribosomal RNA, 551 nt
Filed under: Teunia cuniculi
Lineage: Eukaryota; Fungi; Basidiomycota; Tremellomycetes; Tremellales; Cryptococcaceae
Description: partial large subunit ribosomal RNA
Rfam family: Eukaryotic large subunit ribosomal RNA
Source: RNAcentral
AAACUAACAAGGAUUCCCCUAGUAACGGCGAGCGAACCGGGAAGAGCUCAAAUUUGAAAUCUGGCGUCCUCAGGGCGUCCGAGUUGUAAUCUAUAGAGGCGUUUUCCGUGCCGGACCGUGUCCAAGUCCCUUGGAACAGGGUAUCAAAGAGGGUGACAAUCCCGUACUUGACACGACCACCGGUGCUCUGUGAUACGUCUUCUACGAGUCGAGUUGUUUGGGAAUGCAGCUCAAAAUGGGUGGUAAACUCCAUCUAAAGCUAAAUAUUGGUGGGAGACCGAUAGCGAACAAGUACCGUGAGGGAAAGAUGAAAAGCACUUUGGAAAGAGAGUUAAACAGUAUGUGAAAUUGUUGAAAGGGAAACGAUUGAAGUCAGUCGUGUCCAUUGGAUUCAGCCGGUUCUGCCGGUCUACUUCCUUUGGACGGGUCAACAUCGGUUUUGGUCGACGGAUAAUGGCGGGAGGAAGGUAGCACCCCUCGGGGUGUGUUAUAGCCUCCCGUCGCAUACGCCGGCCGAGACCGAGGAACGCAGCUCGCCUUCAUGGCAGGGG